Molecule: ribosomal RNA, 765 nt
Filed under: uncultured Streptococcus sp.
Lineage: Bacteria; Bacillati; Bacillota; Bacilli; Lactobacillales; Streptococcaceae
Description: bacterial SSU rRNA
Rfam family: Bacterial small subunit ribosomal RNA
Source: RNAcentral
GACGAACGCUGGCGGCGUGCCUAAUACAUGCAAGUAGAACGCUGAAGAGAGGAGCUUGCUCUUCUUGGAUGAGUUGCGAACGGGUGAGUAACGCGUAGGUAACCUGCCUGGUAGCGGGGGAUAACUAUUGGAAACGAUAGCUAAUACCGCAUAAAAUUGAUUAUUGCAUGAUAAUUAAUUGAAAGAUGCAACUGCAUCACUACCAGAUGGACCUGCGUUGUAUUAGCUAGUUGGUGAGGUAACGGCUCACCAAGGCGACGAUACAUAGCCGACCUGAGAGGGCGAUCGGCCACACUGGGACUGAGACACGGCCCAGACUCCUACGGGAGGCAGCAGUAGGGAAUCUUCGGCAAUGGGGGGAACCCUGACCGAGCAACGCCGCGUGAGUGAAGAAGGUUUUCGGAUCGUGAAGCUCUGUUGUAAGAGAAGAACGGGUGUGAGAGUGGAAAGUUCACACUGUGACGGUAUCUUACCAGAAAGGGACGGCUAACUACGUGCCAGCAGCCGCGGUAAUACGUAGGUCCCGAGCGUUGUCCGGAUUUAUUGGGCGUAAAGCGAGCGCAGGCGGUUAGAUAAGUCUGAAGUUAAAGGCUGUGGCUUAACCAUAGUAUGCUUUGGAAACUGUUUAACUUGAGUGCAGAAGGGGAGAGUGGAAUUCCAUGUGUAGCGGUGAAAUGCGUAGAUAUAUGGAGGAACACCGGUGGCGAAAGCGGCUCUCUGGUCUGUAACUGACGCUGAGGCUCGAAAGCGUGGGGAGCAAACAGG